UACGUAGGGUGCAAGCGUUAAUCGGAAUUACUGGGCGUAAAGGGUGCGUAGGCGGUAUUGUAAGCCAGAUGUGAAAUCCCCGGGCUCAACCUGGGAACUGCGUUUGGAACUGCAAUGCUAGAGUGUGUCAGAGGGGGGUAGAAUUCCACGUGUAGCAGUGAAAUGCGUAGAGAUGUGGAGGAACACCGAUGGCGAAGGCAGCCCCCUGGGAUAACACUGACGCUCAGGCACGAAAGCGUGGGGAGCAAACAGG
This 253-nucleotide ribosomal RNA is filed under the name uncultured bacterium. RNAcentral's name for it is "partial 16S ribosomal RNA". It matches the Rfam family "Bacterial small subunit ribosomal RNA", at positions 524 to 776 of the family's 1533-position model. The record is from RNAcentral.